AUGCACAAAGAAUGAUGGGUCUGGUUGCCAGCCCAAACCCAACCCCUUAUUUUCUUAAAAACAGAAACCCUAAAGGGUUUAUUUAUCUUCCUCUCACACGCGACUCUUCCCUUGCGAAGUUCGCAGCCGUCGCACCACCACACCAUCACGCCACACCACCACGCCACCACGCAGCGGGCUUGCCAGCAACGCCAAUCCCCGUUGACGACGAGAGCCCGGAGACGUGCAAACUUCACUCUCCUCUCAAGUGCGACUCGAACCACCUUCGCGCGAGCACCCAACGCCAUUGCCAUCACUAGCGAUAGUCGAAGCUAGAGUCACCGUCGGCGGUCACUACCCUGACGCGAUUGCUCUUCUUCUCCACGAGAUCCUUGUCUCCGCAAGAUCCUUCCCGUUGUGCCCUCCGUCGAACCUCCACAGCCAACCAAGAUUGAGACUUCGCCGCCUCCGCCGUAGCUAGUCGAAGACACCACCAGCGACACCAGCUUCCCCUAGGGGCGUCUACGUCAAGAACCCAGGGAUGCUCGACCUUUGCUCUCGCAAGCGUGACUCGAAUUGCCUCCGCGCGACACCCAGGGCCGCCGACAAUUGUUUCCUUACUCUUUUUUAUCCAUCUGUUUUGAUUGGUUGUGGGUGAUUAGGGAAGAUGAGAUUAUAAUGUUUGGCACUAAAAUGGGGCUCUGCUUCGGUGUGAACUUGAAUUGUAGGGGUGGAGUUGUGAUUCUGGUUUUUUUUGCUUGUGCGUUCUAUGUGCAGGUUGAAAUGUGAUGUUGAGGUGGUGGUUCUAGGAAUGCUAUAGGAGUUGAAUGGGAUGUUGCGGGAUUCGAAUGGAGAAGGGUUUAUUGAUGAUGCCAACUCUAUUAGAGUGAACGAGCAGAGAAGGGUGAGCGGACGGGAACAAAAUAAAUAACAGACUUAACUAUGCUUAACUCAAAUCAUCUCCAAUUCAUAUAUUCAUGAACAUCAGUAUCAAGUCAUCAUCUCCAAUUCAUAUAUUCAUGAACAUCAGUAUCAAGUCAUAGUAACAAAAGCUAAGAAGUAGUUACCUUGAAGAUAAAACUCAAUGUAUUAACAGUUUGCUUCCA
Molecule: long non-coding RNA, 1085 nt
Organism: Vigna unguiculata (cowpea)
Lineage: Eukaryota; Viridiplantae; Streptophyta; Magnoliopsida; Fabales; Fabaceae
Source: RefSeq, a predicted model, not a curated record